This is an RNA transcript of Glycine soja, 1752 nucleotides long. It is a transcript of the gene named acyl-CoA thioesterase 2-like, with no coding region annotated. The transcript is spliced from 15 exons. The record is from RefSeq and is a predicted model, not a curated record. NCBI's taxonomy places the organism in Eukaryota, Viridiplantae, Streptophyta, Magnoliopsida, Fabales, Fabaceae.
AGCUAUAUCUAUUGAGCGUGCCGAGCGCUAAAACCGAAGAAGAAACAAAAAAUUGAAUUGCAUUGCAUUGCUUUUGCUGCGUUGAAAAUCCGAAGAAAUCGAAUUGCAUUGCUCCGUGAAAAAAAUGGAAAGCGAGAAAGCGUUUGAGUUUCUCGGAUGCGUUCCUCUCCUGCAGAGGCUUCCGAGCUCGUCUCUGAGGAAGAUAGCUCAACUUGUGGAUGUCAAACAUUGUGAGCCCGGAGAGUAUGUUGUUCGCGAGGGUGAACCCGGAGAUGGUGUGUACUUCAUAUUGGAUGGAGAGGCUGAGGUUCUUGGAUCUGUUAGUGCCAAUGAUGAAAAUCGACCAGAGUUCCAAUUGAAACAAUAUGACUACUUUGGUUAUGGUUUGUCAAACACAGUUCACCAGGCAGAUGUUGUUGCUUUGUCUAAGCUGACAUGCUUAGUGCUUCCUCAUGAGCACUCAACACUGCUGCAGCCAAAGUCUAUCUGGAGAGCAGAAAAUUCUCUCGAGACAUGCUCACCUGUGGAGAAUAUAUUGCAUUUGGAGCCGCUCGAGGUAGAUAUCUUCCAAGGAAUUACCCUUCCAGAUGCUCCAAGAUUUGGAAAGGUGUUUGGGGGGCAGAUGAUUGGACAGGCUCUGGCUGCAGCUUCAAAAUCUGUUGGCUCUCUUAAGGUUGUUCAUAGUUUGCAUGCCUAUUUUAUUCUUGCAGGGGAUUUAAACAUGCCAAUUACAUACCAAGUUCACCGUCUCCGAGAUGGAAAGAGCUUUGCUUCAAGGAAAGUGGAUGGAAUUCAAAAGGGAAAUGUCAUAUUCACUCUGAUGGCUUCAUUUCAAAAAGAAGAAUCAGGGAUGGUCCACCAAGAAGUAGCUAUACCAUCUGUCCCUGCUCCAGAUAAGCUUCUGCCAAUGGAAGAGCUACGGGAGAGACGUCUUACUGACCCUCGUUUACCAAUAACCUAUCGGAACAAAGUAGCUACAUCUCAAUUCAUCCCAUGGCCCAUAGAGAUACGGUUAUGUGAAUAUGAAACUGCAACAAAUAUGACAAAAUCUCCUCCCAGUUUGAGAUACUGGUUUAGAGCAAAGGGAAAACUUUCAGAUGAUGAAGCCUUGCAUAGGAAAGGGGAAGAAGGAUGGUUCGGGAAAAGGAGCAUCGGGUUUAGAUUAAGGCACUGCUGCAACAAGAGCCAAAUCUCAUUGAGCAGUUCGGCGCCGUCAAUAUUGAAGGUAGAGAGGAAGGUGGGGGUCAACAACGAUGAUGUUGUUCUGCUCAACGUCGGAAAUGUCAGUGGCUUUUUCGAAUGAGGGAGGGGCGAAGCAUUCACGAAUGAGGGGAGCUAUUACAAUAGUUAUAAAAAACUUACAACUUUGGAUAGGAAACCCCUUUUUUUGGUUUUCAAAAUUAGCCUAUUUAAGUGUUUUAAAAUUUGGUUAAAAACCAUUUUAACACCAAUUUUGCCAAACAACUUUUAUUUCCAAAAUUUCAUUUCAAAACUAAAAACUACAAACUGACAAUACAAAAUUAAAUGUUUUUAUUUUGAAGAAUAGAGGAACUAAAAUUCCAUUUAAACCUUACUUACAACUUUAACUGAUGUGCGAAACCAAUGCUUGCAUCCAUUAGAGCCCUGUGACUGUGAGACUGCCUGAAUCUGGUGCGUGGUGGCAUACGCUUCCGAUCUAAUAUUUCUUCAAGUAAGUUUGAAUCCCCACCGUGAGAAGGGUUUCAGGACACGUUCUGUUAGUCUGGAUCACUC